CACGGACCGCACGAACGUUAUUCGGUAUCACUGGGCUUAAAGGGUGCGUAGGCGGCUUUGCAAGUUGGGUGUGAAAGCCCUCGGCUCAACCGAGGAAUUGCGCUCAAUACUGCCGAGCUCGAGAGAGACAGAGGUAAGCGGAACUGAUGGUGGAGCGGUGAAAUGCGUUGAUAUCAUCAGGAACACCGGUGGCGAAGGCGGCUUACUGGGUCUUUUCUGACGCUGAGGCACGAAAGCCAGGGGAGCGAACGGG
Molecule: ribosomal RNA, 253 nt
Filed under: uncultured bacterium
Lineage: Bacteria
Description: partial 16S ribosomal RNA
Rfam family: Bacterial small subunit ribosomal RNA
Source: RNAcentral